RNAcentral lists this ribosomal RNA (253 nucleotides) under uncultured bacterium. RNAcentral describes it as "partial 16S ribosomal RNA". It matches the Rfam family "Bacterial small subunit ribosomal RNA", at positions 524 to 776 of the family's 1533-position model. The record is from RNAcentral.
UACGGAGGAUGCAAGCGUUAUCCGGAAUUAUUGGGCGUGAAGCGUCCGCAGGUGGCACUUCAAGUCUGUCGUCAAAGACCGGGGCUUAACCCUGGAAAGGCGAUGGAAACUGAAAGGCUAGAGAGAGGUAGGGGUAGAGGGAAUUCCCAGUGUAGCGGUGAAAUGCGUAGAGAUUGGGAAGAACAUCGGUGGCGAAAGCGCUCUACUGGACCUCAUCUGACACUCAGGGACGAAAGCUAGGGGAGCGAAUGGG